AACGUUGGCGGCACGCUUAACACAUGCAAGUCGAACGGCAGCAGGAUUUGGAGUAAUCUAAAUUGCUGGCGAGUGGCGGAAGGGUGAGUAAUAUAUAGGAACAUGCCUAUCAGAAUGGGAUAACUUAGGGAAACUUAAGCUAAUACCAUAUAAUGUUGAAAAACCAAAGGCAAGCAAUUGCGCUGAUUGAGUGGCCUAUAUUAGAUUAGCUAGUUGGUGUGGUAAAGGCAUACCAAGGCAAAGAUCUAUAGCUGGUUUGAGAGGAUGAACAGCCACACUGGGACUGAGACACGGCCCAGACUCCUACGGGAGGCAGCAGUGGGGAAUAUUGGACAAUGAGGGAAACCUUGAUCCAGCGAUGCCGCGUGUAUGAAGAAGGCCUUCGGGUUGUAAAGUACUUUCAGCAGAGAAGAGUAAGUACGUAAGUAUGAAGACGUUAUCUGCAGAAGAAGCGCCGGCAAACUCUGUGCCAGCAGCCGCGGUAAUACAGAGGGCGCGAACGUUAAUCGGAGUGAUUGGGCGUAAAGGGCGCGUAGGCGGUUAUUCAAGUUAAUUGUGAAAGAUUAAAGCUUAACUUUGAAAUGCCAAUUAAAACUGAAUAACUAGAGGUCACUAGAGGGAAGUGGAAUUUUCGGAGUAGCGGUGAAAUGCGUAGAUAUCGGAAGGAAUAUCUGAGGCGAAGGCGGCUUUCUGGGGUGAUACUGACGCUGAGGCGCGAAGGCGUGGGGAGCAAACAGGAUUAGAUACCCUGGUAGUCCACGCAGUAAACGAUGAAUACUAACUGUUUCAGUCAUAAAAGAUUGGAGUGGUGGAGCUAACGCGUUAAGUAUUCCGCCUGGGGAUUACGACCGCAAGGUUAAAACUCAAAGGAAUUGACGGGGACCCGCACAAGCGGUGGAGCAUGUGGUUUAAUUCGAUGCAACCCGAAAAACCUUACCUACUAUUGAUCCUUAGAAUUUUAAAGAGAUUUAAGAGUGCCCGAAAGGGAGCUAAGUGACAGGUGCUGCAUGGCUGUCGUCAGCUCGUGUUGUGAGAUGUAGGGUUAAGUCCCGUAACGAGCGCAACCCUUAUGCUUAAUUACCACCAAGUAAAGUUGGGGACUUUAAGCAAACUGCCGGACAAAAGCCGGAGGAAGGUGAGGACGACGUCAAGUCAUCAUGGCCUUUAUAAGUAGGGCUACACACGUGCUACAAUGGUUAUUACAAAGGGUAGCGAAAGAGCAAUCUGAAGCAAAUCCUAAAAAGGUAACCUUAGUUCGGAUUGCAGUCUGUAACUCGGCUGCAUGAAGCUGGAAUCGCUAGUAAUCGCAAAUCAGCAAGUUGCGGUGAAUACGUUCUCGGGUCUUGUACACACCGCCCGUCAAACCAUGGAAGUGGAUUGUACCAGAAGAAGGUGGAUUAACUUUUCGAAAGGAAAGAGAUUGCCUGCCACGGUAUGAUUCAUGACUGGGGUUAAGUCGUAACAAGGUA
RNAcentral lists this ribosomal RNA (1469 nucleotides) under metagenome. Its description in RNAcentral is "bacterial SSU rRNA". It matches the Rfam family "Bacterial small subunit ribosomal RNA". The record is from RNAcentral.